Molecule: transfer RNA, 69 nt
Filed under: Ictidomys tridecemlineatus (thirteen-lined ground squirrel)
Lineage: Eukaryota; Metazoa; Chordata; Mammalia; Rodentia; Sciuridae
Description: Spermophilus tridecemlineatus (thirteen-lined ground squirrel) tRNA
Rfam family: tRNA
About the family: Transfer RNA (tRNA) molecules are approximately 80 nucleotides in length. Their secondary structure includes four short double-helical elements and three loops (D, anti-codon, and T loops).
Source: Rfam by way of RNAcentral
GGGGUUAUGGCUCAGUGCUAGAGCGCCCACCUAGCAAGUGUGGGGCCCUAGGUUCAAUCCUUGGCACCA